This 20-nucleotide non-coding RNA is filed under the name Rattus norvegicus (Norway rat). The record is from RNAcentral. Lineage: Eukaryota; Metazoa; Chordata; Mammalia; Rodentia; Muridae.
AUGUGGAUCUGGUGGCUGUU